This 404-nucleotide ribosomal RNA is filed under the name Fusobacteriota bacterium. RNAcentral's name for it is "Fusobacteria bacterium partial 16S ribosomal RNA". It matches the Rfam family "Bacterial small subunit ribosomal RNA", at positions 355 to 776 of the family's 1533-position model. The record is from RNAcentral. Lineage: Bacteria; Fusobacteriati; Fusobacteriota.
UGGGGAAUAUUGCACAAUGGAGGGAACUCUGAUGCAGCGACGCCGCGUGAGUGAUGAAGGAAUUCGUUUCGUAAAACUCUGUUCUAUGGGAAGAAAAGGACUGUACCAUAGGAGAAAGCUCCGGCUAAAUACGUGCCAGCAGCCGCGGUAAUACGUAUGGAGCGAGCGUUGUCCGGAAUUAUUGGGCGUAAAGGGUGCGCAGGCGGCUUUACAAGUUGGAUGUGAAAUAUUGUGGCUCAACCACAAACGUGCAUCCAAAACUGCAAAGCUUGAGUUAAGGAGAGGGAAGUGGAAUUCCUGGUGUAGCGGUGGAAUGCGUAGAUAUGAGGAGGAAUACCGGUGGCGAAGGCGACUUACUGGACUUAAACUGACGCUCAGGCACGAAAGCGUGGGGAGCAAACAGG